This 4714-nucleotide long non-coding RNA is filed under the name Sus scrofa (pig). RNAcentral describes it as "lncRNA (ENSSSCG00005005300.1)". The record is from RNAcentral. Lineage: Eukaryota; Metazoa; Chordata; Mammalia; Artiodactyla; Suidae.
GUGCUCCUCUUGCGUCCCUUCUCCAGGCCUCGCUCCUUCACCCAGCCUCCGGUCGACCCCUUUUCCACGUCCCCGGUGGACGCAGCCCUCCGCAGCCUCCACGCCCAUGGCCACUAGCCUGAGGAGGCCGUCUUUCACCACCGGUUCUUCCUCCCCUCCGGACGCGGACGACGAGGGCGUGUGAGGUACUUGGGAAAAUGCUUCUCUGUGCAAGCGGUACCUGCCCGGCGCGGGGUUAGGGGUCGGCUUCCCCUGGGUGCUGGGGCCUAGGUGAGAGGCGGGCCUGUGUCUGAGGAAUGCGCUUUUACGCCAAAAGAGAAGCAUCUUUGCAAGGGCCCAGCUGCCUUGGUAGGGGAAGAAGAACAGGUGGUGAAGGGGGCCUCCACGGGAUAGUGGCCAUGGGCGUGGAGGUUGCUGGGUGCUGCGCCCACCGGGGACAAGGAAGCAGGGUCAAGAGAUGCCGGGGAUAAGAAGCGAGCCCGGGAGAGGGGAGGCGAGAGGAGCAGGGAUACAACCGGUUCAGCUAGCGCCACUCACAGACUACGACCACUGGUAGCUGCUCCAGCAACCUUCCAGCUAACCCACACCUCCCCAACUAGGCUCCAAGGACAAUUUCCCCGCCCCCUCAGCCCACGGAGGUGCCCAUUGGAAAACUCUUUUGGCCCCGCCUACAGAAACCGGAAGUUCUUGGAGAGGGCAAAGUAAACUGAAAUUGACGCAAUUGAGCGCCUGCAAAGCUUUCCGGGAAUUGUAGUCCUGGGCGCUUUGGGAGGCCUCUGGUUUUCUCAUGGCUUGUCAUGAAAUUUUAUAACUGUAAUUAACUCAGGGCAGAAAUGCUGGCAGGAUCCUUAGCAAUGGGGCAAAGGGCAGAGCAUCUAGCGGGAAAAGCAAGUGUCAGUGUUAUAGUCAGUUGGAGCUCAGUCUCAUUCAGCAAUUGAACAAAUAUUUAAGCGCUGGGGCAGGAUCUAGGCCAAGAGCUUAGCACACAAAAUCGCCUUUAAAAUGUUGUGAAGGAAGAAAUGUGUGGAAAACAUAUACCAUGGGAAACUAUGUAACAUCAGAGGCUGAAUUUCAAAAAUACAAUAUUGAGUGAAAGAAGAGAGAGAACAUUUUUUUUUUGUAAACUUAAAUUGAAAGAGAACUAAUGUUAUUUGGAAAAAUAAAUAUAUAUGGUAAAAUAACAUACAGGAUAGUAAAGAAAUGAGGGGAAAAAAUCCAAGCAAAAGUAAUGUUAUUUAGAAAAACACACAUAAAGGGUAAAAUAAUUAAUAAUUAAAGGAAUGAUGCAGAAAACCUGAAAUUAAGCUAUUUGUGACAUUGUGGGAGUGGAGAGUAUAGAAUACUAGAGAAAAGAGAAUGGGGAAGAAGUACACCAAUAAUUUCUCAAGCUGAGGUAGGUUCACAUGUGUUUAUUUCACUAUUAUGCAUAUUCAAGAGGGUCAUCACAUAGACUUUGCUGUAGACUUAUAAAAUAAUUUCUAAAUAAAAUUCCUAAAUGGUUUGCAUACUCCAUUUCAUCAUCUGUCAGGAGCAGGGAAUGGAGGUACUUAAACUUUAAGAACCAAAGGUCUCACACACAAGCAAAAUAAGGAAACAACAACAAAAACCCAGGACAGAUAUAUUGCAGCAAGUUCAGGUAUCAAAUACUGGCUUAGUAGUCAAUGGAGGAGCAAGAGUUCAUUGAUACUCAAAGUAGAAAUCAGGGGGGAAGGUUGAGGUUAGGGAGUUUUGCCAGGGGGAGUGGCGAUGAGAUGAAAUAACACCACUUCUUUGAGUGGUCAUUUGCCAAGAAGGUAAUGCAAACCACUGAAAAAGCAUAGCCUCCCAAGUUGGCAGUGGACACAUUCCCUGGGUGUCAGGGAGCCAAAAGAGGGGGUCAGCAGCAAGGAGUAUAAGGUGUCAAUCCCAUAGAUAUGGAUGGUGAUCCUGAGAGUGGAGGAGUCAGAUGAUACACUUCUGGUGUUUGAUGAGCCAAGCUGUUGUUUGCUGGGCCUUUGGUUCAGAAAAACAUGAUUCAGGGAACUUUGGUCAGUUUUUCACUGAGAGGUCACCCCAAAACCUUCCUGCAGGCAGGGCCAGCUCAUUUCAUUUAGGCUCCUAGUCAAGGGGCUAGAACUUAAUGAUGUAGGAAUGGAGACUGAAAAUGGAAACCUGAGCCAUCUCAAGCUGCAUAAUGCCUCCAAAUAUGAGACUACCCUCGGGGUAGCCACGAACAAUGUCCCAGCCAGAGAAAAGGCACUGACAACUAAUCUGCAUCCUAUGAUAAAGUCAAGAAAAGAGAAACUAUAGUUUAAAAUUCCUGUUGAACAUUGAUUAAUAUUGGGAGCAAAUACCUGGACUUUAACCAUGAAACUUCCUCUUUGCGAGGCUAGAGUGGACAUUUGCUGCUUUGACUAUUUGCUAUUCCUUUCUCCUAUCACAAUGGCCAGAGUUUAUCAUGAAGAAUCCAACUCCUCCUUUAGUCCACCUGGAUGUGGUAAGGCUCCACACCUGACAGUAGUGGUGGAAACUUGCCCAGGCCUGGCCUACCACUCAGAAUAUCGCCCUAGCUGUAUUUCAGGAGUGUGGAUUUCCUGUUGUGGUUCUGUGGGUUAAGCCAUCCACUAGUCUCCAUGAGGAUAUAGGUUCCAUCCCUGGACUCACUCAGUGAGUUAAGGAUCCAGUGUUGCCGCAAGCUACAUCUUAGGUUGCAUAUGCAGCUCAGUUCUGGUGUUGCUAUGGCUGUGGCAUGGGCCUGCAGCCACAACUGCAGUUUGACUCUUAACCUAGGAACUUUCAUAUGCCCCAGGUGUGGCCAUAAAAGGAAAAGAAAAAAAAAAGAAUGAAUCCCAGAAGUUGAAUGGGAUCUUCCAAGUCUAGAAGAGCUCUCUUUCCUGGCAGACUUGAACCCAGGAGGUACCUGUACUACUGGAGCUACUGAGAGCCAUCUUCCUACCUCAUACAACCUGAGAAUGAUGCUAUUGGCAAUGCUAAUGGAGUCUGGAGCACUGUAUGCUCAGUUAGGGGUGACCUGAGUUUGCAGUGUGGGAGCUGAUGGGAAAAUCACCAGAGCCUGUGAUGCUGACCAGUCAGAAGCAGCUGAAUUCAGAAAGAUGCAAUAACAUGUUAUCCAGGAUUUUCAGCUUUCAUCCUGAGCUGAGUGCACCUUCUCCCUCCCCUCCCCUCAUCACCUGGUCACUCACACCACUAUCUUCCUUCUUUGCUGGCCCAGUUUUCCAAGUUUUUGGCCUGAGAUUUCCUCACAAGCUUUCCAUAGCAAUAGCCUUUUGAAAAGGCCAUCUUUCCUCCUUUGAAUUGCUUCUGAACAUUUGUCAGAAAUCAGUGGAAUAAAUUUGUGUGGGAUUGUUUCUGGGUUCCCUGUUUAUUGAUCUAUGUCUGUCCCACUGCACAUACCACACAAUCUGGGUUAUUUAAUAAGUUUUGAAACUGGGUAGAUUGCUCCCACUUUAUUUUUUAAAAAAAUUUUAGCUACCCUAGUUCCCUUAUCUUUCCACAUAAAUUUUAGAAUAGUCUUGUCUGUAUCAAAAAAAAGUCCUACUGGGUUUUGACAGGAGUUGGAAUAAAUCUAUGAAUUUGGGGAGAACUGACAUCUUUACAAUGUUUAGUCUUCCAAUUCAUGAACAUGGUAUAACUCCCCAUUUAUAUAGAUCUUUGAUUUCUUUUAUCAUUGUUGUAGAGUUUUCAGCAUACAAGUCCUGGACAUGUUUUGUUAGAUUCGUACUUAAAUGUUUUAUUUUCAUUAGUGGUUGCAAAUGUAUUUUAUUUUAUUUUUAUUUUUUGUCUUUUUCAGGGCCACACCCACGGCAUAUGGAGGUUCCCAGGCUAAGGAUGUAAUGUGAGCUAUAGCCACAGGCCUAUGCCAGACCCACAGCAAUGCCAGAUCCGAGCCACAUCUGCAACCUAUACCACAGCUCAGUGCAAUGCCAGAUCCUUAAUGCACUGAGCAAGGCCAGGGAUCAAACCUGCAACCUCAUGGUUCCUCGUUGGAUACGUUUCCACCAUGCCACGAUGGGAACUCCUAUAUAUGUAUUUUAAAUUUUGGUGUCAUUGCUGGAACCUACAAAUAAAAUUGAUUUUUUAUAAUGAUUUUUAUUUUUGCCAUUAUAGCUGAUUUGCAGUGUUCUGUCAAUUUUCUACUGUACAGCAAUCUGACCCAGUUACACAUACAUGUAUAUAUUCUUUUUUCUCACAUUAUCAUGCUCUAUCAUAAGUGACUAGACAGAGUUCCCAAUGCUACACAGCAGGAUCUCAUUGCUUACCCAUUCCAAAGGCAACAGUUUUCAUCUAUUAACCCCAAAUUCCCAAUCCAUCCCACUCCCUCCCCCUCCCCAAAAAAACCCAAUUGAAAUUGAUUUUUGUGUUUAUUGUGUAUUACAGAACUCCCCCUCCCCACAUCUAUUCUCCAUGUCCAUGGUUUUCUUUUCUGUGGGAAGGUUCAUUUGUGCCUUAUAUUAGAUCCCAGAUAUAAGUGAUAUCAUAUGGUAUUUGGCUUUCUCUUUAUGACUUACUUCACUUUGUAUGAGUCUCUAGUUCUGUCCAUGUUGCUGCAAAUGGCAUUAUUUCGUUCUUUUUUAUGGCUUAGUAGUAUUCCAUUGUGUAUAUAUACCCCAUCUUCUCAAUCCAAUCAUCUGUCAAUGGAAAUUUAGGUUGUUUCCAUGUCUUGUGAAUAGUGCUGCAAUGAACUUCUACAACUCAACAGCAAAAAAAAAAAAAA